UGAGCACAAGGGAUAACUGAUUUCAUAG
Molecule: non-coding RNA, 28 nt
Filed under: Mus musculus (house mouse)
Lineage: Eukaryota; Metazoa; Chordata; Mammalia; Rodentia; Muridae
Source: RNAcentral